CCUACGGGUGACAGCAGUGAGGAAUAUUGGUCAAUGGACGGAAGUCUGAACCAGCCAUGCCGCGUGCAGGAAGACGGCGCUAUGAGGUGUAAACUGCUUUUGUACAAGGGUAAACCGGAAUACGUGUAUGCAGCUGAAAGUACUGUACGAAUAAGGAUCGGCUAACGCCGUGCCAGCAGCCGCGGUAAGACGGAGGAUCCAAGCGUUAUCCGGAUUUAUUGGGUUUAAAGGGUGCGUAGGCGGCUUGAUAAGUUAGAGGUGAAAGGUCCGAGCUUAACUCGGGAACGGCCUCUCAUACUGUUGUUCUCGCGCUUAGCUGCGGUAGGCGGAAUGUUUUUUGUAGCUG
This 346-nucleotide ribosomal RNA is filed under the name uncultured bacterium. RNAcentral's name for it is "partial 16S ribosomal RNA". It matches the Rfam family "Bacterial small subunit ribosomal RNA", at positions 338 to 681 of the family's 1533-position model. The record is from RNAcentral.